Nitratireductor aquibiodomus RA22 is the source of this 148-nucleotide non-coding RNA. The record is from Rfam. Lineage: Bacteria; Pseudomonadati; Pseudomonadota; Alphaproteobacteria; Hyphomicrobiales; Phyllobacteriaceae.
GCCCAAAGUCGCACGUGCCUGUGGGUGUCCGCCGGACCUCGAAUAUGGCGAGGAAACCGGUACGGUACCUGGACCUAACCGCUCCAGUCGGUCUGAUGGCCAACCAUCAAACCGAGGACAUCUUGAAGCAACGACGGUGCGGGCCUUU